GUCCACGCCCUAAACGAUGAAUACUCGCUGUUAGCGAUACACAGUUAGCGGCUAAGCGAAAGCGUUAAGUAUUCCACCUGGGGAGUACGCCCGCAAGGGUGAAACUCAAAGGAAUUGACGGGGCCCGCACAAGCGGAGGAGCAUGUGGUUUAAUUCGAUGAUACGCGAGGAACCUUACCCGGGCUUGAAAGUUAGUGAAUGAUUUAGAGAUAGAUCAGUGAGCAAUCACACGAAACUAGGUGCUGCAUGGCUGUCGU
RNAcentral lists this ribosomal RNA (257 nucleotides) under uncultured bacterium. RNAcentral describes it as "partial 16S ribosomal RNA". It matches the Rfam family "Bacterial small subunit ribosomal RNA", at positions 793 to 1055 of the family's 1533-position model. The record is from RNAcentral.